CUUAGCUUGCUAAGGCUGAUGGCGACCGGCGCACGGGUGAGUAACACGUAUCCAACCUGCCGUCUACUCUUGGCCAGCCUUCUGAAAGGAAGAUUAAUCCAGGAUGGCAUCAUGAGUUCACAUGUCCGCAUGAUUAAAGGUAUUUUCCGGUAGACGAUGGGGAUGCGUUCCAUUAGAUAGUAGGCGGGGUAACGGCCCACCUAGUCAACGAUGGAUAGGGGUUCUGAGAGGAAGGUCCCCCACAUUGGAACUGAGACACGGUCCAAACUCCUACGGGAGGCAGCAGUGAGGAAUAUUGGUCAAUGGGCGAUGGCCUGAACCAGCCAAGUAGCGUGAAGGAUGACUGCCCUAUGGGUUGUAAACUUCUUUUAUAAAGGAAUAAAGUCGGGUAUGCAUACCCGUUUGCAUGUACUUUAUGAAUAAGGAUCGGCUAACUCCGUGCCAGCAGCCGCGGUAAUACGGAGGAUCCGAGCGUUAUCCGGAUUUAUUGGGUUUAAAGGGAGCGUAGAUGGAUGUUUAAGUCAGUUGUGAAAGUUUGCGGCUCAACCGUAAAAUUGCAGUUGAUACUGGAUGUCUUGAGUGCAGUUGAGGCAGGCGGAAUUCGUGGUGUAGCGGUGAAAUGCUUAGAUAUCACGAAGAACUCCGAUUGCGAAGGCAGCCUGCUAAGCUGCAACUGACAUUGAGG
RNAcentral lists this ribosomal RNA (685 nucleotides) under uncultured Bacteroidales bacterium. Its description in RNAcentral is "bacterial SSU rRNA". It matches the Rfam family "Bacterial small subunit ribosomal RNA", at positions 71 to 751 of the family's 1533-position model. The record is from RNAcentral. Lineage: Bacteria; Pseudomonadati; Bacteroidota; Bacteroidia; Bacteroidales.